This 969-nucleotide ribosomal RNA is filed under the name Triticum aestivum (bread wheat). Its description in RNAcentral is "partial small subunit ribosomal RNA". Lineage: Eukaryota; Viridiplantae; Streptophyta; Magnoliopsida; Poales; Poaceae. The record is from RNAcentral.
CCGUGUUACUGCGCAAGAGAGGGGACAAUAGGGUGUCCCUGGAAUAGAGAAGGCGAGCGGAAGAGAGGGGGCAACGUGCCCCUGGAAUAGAGAAGGCGAGCGGAAGAGAGGGGGCGACGAAAAAGAAGAAGAAAAGAAGACGAGAUCAGUACUGCGUGUUGGGGAGAAAGGAGUGGUGACGUACGCCUCGAGCGGCGUCAGUUCCCCAGACUGGCGACGACGGCGCUCUGGAAGGACGGGGCGGCUACGCUCGUAGAGAGGGAAAGUGGACGGGAGCUUCGAUGGGGAGACCGACGACGUACAUGUCUCCGUAGUGCGUGAGGGGCACCGAGCGGCCUUAGGGGGAGCUCCGUAACGACGUUCGUCCCCCGCGGCCACCGGUACCCGACGUCACUCCUGCUACCCGCGCGUGGAAAAAUUACCGGUCCACAACUAAAAACGACGCUGUAAGCAGCCUAAAACGACCUUGGUUGCUGUUCAAAACGACCUUGGCCGGUACCUUAAAAACCGUUGGCAACAGGCUCCUUCGAUGGUGGUCGAAGAUUUUUUCGAAGUUUUGUCUCCCCUUCUACACCCCGUCGGUGGCGUGUUUGACUUUUCGAAGUUGGCCGACGUUCUAUCGAUGUUGUCCAGAAUACUCUUCGAAGUUGGCUCCUUGCUGCUCUACUGAACGCUGCCGCCGAUCCAAGUGAAAAGCGACGUUGGUAUCAACGAAAAACGAUGCUGGCCGUCCCAAAAACGAUGUAGGAAAGGUACCACGUUGCUGUCUUUUCGAUGUAGGCCACCAUCUUUUCGAAGUUCACCGUAUGACCCCGCUGCUGACUUCUUUUCGAUGUAAGUCGCCAUCUUUUAGAAGUUCCCCGCCGCGUUAAACGACGGUGGUAACUGCCUUCGUUGCUCUACUCGAAAAAGUACCGACCAUACCACGAUGUUUCGUACCGCUGCUGCUCUUGACGUCGUUGGUUUUGU